RNAcentral lists this long non-coding RNA (401 nucleotides) under Medicago truncatula (barrel medic). RNAcentral's name for it is "long non-coding RNA (MTRU_LNC007366)". The record is from RNAcentral. Lineage: Eukaryota; Viridiplantae; Streptophyta; Magnoliopsida; Fabales; Fabaceae.
UUGAAUACUCUGAUUAUAUGUGAAAUUUUUAUGUUGGGAAAAAACGGGGUGUUACAUACUUCCUCUUCAUCCUUCUCAGAGUCACCUUCUGAUCCCUGUUUUCUUCAGCAUUAGAGUUAUCUUUGAAAUUUCCAGAAUUCAGAUUUUUCUCUGGAGUAGUUUCAAAGCUAAGAUCUUUCUCACUAGUCAUAGUCUCACUACCACCAAUAGGGUUAUCAGGUUGACCUAAGGAUGUGUCAACAUCCUCUUGAGCCUCGCUUUCUUCAGGAUCACUUUCAACAGAGUCAUUAGCUCUGGUCUCAUUACCAGUAUCAACAUUCAUAUUUUUCGAAAUUUUUAUGACAAUAUUUGAAUCUACUGACCCUGUGUUUUUAUCAUAUAUAGGUACAUCAACAUUCAAG